Molecule: transfer RNA, 75 nt
Filed under: Deltaproteobacteria bacterium
Lineage: Bacteria; Pseudomonadati; Myxococcota; Myxococcia
Also listed under: 1 other name
Description: tRNA-Val
Rfam family: tRNA
About the family: Transfer RNA (tRNA) molecules are approximately 80 nucleotides in length. Their secondary structure includes four short double-helical elements and three loops (D, anti-codon, and T loops).
Source: RNAcentral
GGGCGGGUAGCUCAGUGGGAGAGCAUCGGCCUUACAAGCCGGGGGCCGGAGGUUCAAACCCUCUCCCGCCUACCA